CCUACGGGGGGCAGCAGUGGGGAAUAUUGGACAAUGGGGGGAACCCUGAUCCAGCCAUGCCGCGUGUGUGAAGAAGGCCCUCGGGUUGUAAAGCACUUUCAGUGAGGAAGAACGCCUGGUGGUUAAUACCCAUCAGGAAAGACAUCACUCACAGAAGAAGCACCGGCUAACUCCGUGCCAGCAGCCGCGGUAAUACGGAGGGUGCGAGUGUUAAUCGGAAUUACUGGGCGUAAAGCGCGCGUAGGUGGCUUGAUAAGCCGGUUGUGAAAGCCCCGGGCUCAACCUGGGAACGGCAUCCGGAACUGUCAAGCUAGAGUGCAGGAGAGGAAGGUAGAAUUCCCGGUGUAGCGGUGAAAUGCGUAGAGAUCGGGAGGAAUACCAGUGGCGAAGGCGGCCUUCUGGACUGACACUGACACUGAGGUGCGAAAGCGUGGGUAGCAAACAGGAUUAGAUACCCCGGUAGUC
This 465-nucleotide ribosomal RNA is filed under the name Vreelandella stevensii. RNAcentral's name for it is "partial 16S ribosomal RNA". It matches the Rfam family "Bacterial small subunit ribosomal RNA", at positions 338 to 795 of the family's 1533-position model. The record is from RNAcentral. Lineage: Bacteria; Pseudomonadati; Pseudomonadota; Gammaproteobacteria; Oceanospirillales; Halomonadaceae.